Molecule: long non-coding RNA, 209 nt
Filed under: Phoenix dactylifera (date palm)
Lineage: Eukaryota; Viridiplantae; Streptophyta; Magnoliopsida; Arecales; Arecaceae
Description: long non-coding RNA (PDAC_LNC015558)
Source: RNAcentral
GGGAAGAAGAAAGAAAUAAAAAAAUAUAUUUUAUGUUGAAAGUCCACCGUGGGAGGGAAAGGGAGAGGAAAUAAAGUUUCUUAUUUUUAUUUUUUUUACUUGUAGAAGAAAGAAGCAUUAGGCUUCAUCUUCAAUCUUUCUACUUUUUGUAAUUAUUUCUUUUUAUGAAAUCAAUUAAUUUUCUUUCAUGCAAUCCAUGUUCUAGGUUC